Molecule: ribosomal RNA, 162 nt
Filed under: uncultured bacterium
Lineage: Bacteria
Description: partial 16S ribosomal RNA
Rfam family: Bacterial small subunit ribosomal RNA
Source: RNAcentral
UAGGGAAUCUUCCACAAUGGACGAAAGUCUGAUGGAGCAACGCCGCGUGAGUGAAGAAGGGUUUCGGCUCGUAAAGCUCUGUUGGUUAGUGAAGAAAGAUAGAGGUAGUAACUGGCCUUUAUUGACGGUAAUUACUUAGAAAGUCACGGCUAACUACGUGCC